This 468-nucleotide ribosomal RNA is filed under the name uncultured bacterium. Its description in RNAcentral is "partial 16S ribosomal RNA". It matches the Rfam family "Bacterial small subunit ribosomal RNA", at positions 28 to 507 of the family's 1533-position model. The record is from RNAcentral.
GACGAACGCUGGCGGCGUGCUUAACACAUGCAAGUCGAACGGAAAGGCCCUGCUUUGGGGGGGUGCUCGAGUGGCGAACGGGUGAGUAACACGUGAGUAACCUGCCCUUGACUUUGGGAUAACUUCAGGAAACUGGGGCUAAUACGGGAUAGGAGCUCCUGCUGCAUGGUGGGGGUGGGAAAGUUUCGGUGGUUGGGGAUGGACUCGCGGCUUAUGAGCUUGUUGGUGGGGUAGUGGAUUACCAAGGCCUUGACGGGUAGCCGGCCUGAGAGGGUGAGCGGCCACAUUGGGACGGGGCUACGGCCCAGCCUCCUCCCGGACGCAGCAGUGGGGAAUAUUACACUAUGGGCGGAAGCAUGAUGCAGCAACGCCGCGUGCGGGAUGACGGCCUUCGGGUUGUAAACCGCUUUCGCCUGUGACGAAGCGUGAGUGACGGUACUGGGUAAAGAAGCCCCGGCUAACUACGUG